Molecule: long non-coding RNA, 259 nt
Filed under: Cicer arietinum (chickpea)
Lineage: Eukaryota; Viridiplantae; Streptophyta; Magnoliopsida; Fabales; Fabaceae
Description: long non-coding RNA (CARI_LNC003303)
Source: RNAcentral
UUUUGCUGGCUCAAAAGAGAAAAGACGGGAGAUUUAUUUGUUAGGGAAAACAAGAAAGGCAACUUGACAAAACAGGAACCAACGCCUAAUGAUAAAAAAGAAAAGAGGAACUAAGCACACAUAAGAGAAAAGGAGCAUAACGUGAAUACGACACGACAAUCAUGGAGGAACGAUGUCGGUAGCUUCGGAAACUUUUCCGGAUUUCUUUUCUUUUCUGUGUUACUUACUUUUUGAUGUCUAGCUAAAUAUUUAUUUUUAU